UUGAACGCUGGCGGCAUGCUUUACCCCUGCAAGUCGAACGGCAGCGCGGGCUUCGGCCUGGCGGCGAGUGGCGAACGGGUGAGUAAUGCAUCGGAACGUGCCCAGUAGUGGGGGAUAGCCCGGCGAAAGCCGGAUUAAUACCGCAUACGACCUGAGGGUGAAAGCGGGGGACCGAAAGGCCUCGCGCUAUUGGAGCGGCCGAUGUCGGAUUAGCUAGUUGGUGGGGUAAAGGCUUACCAAGGCGACGAUCCGUAGCUGGUCUGAGAGGACGACCAGCCACACUGGGACUGAGACACGGCCCAGACUCCUACGGGAGGCAGCAGUGGGGAAUUUUGGACAAUGGGGGCAACCCUGAUCCAGCCAUGCCGCGUGCGGGAAGAAGGCCUUCGGGUUGUAAACCGCUUUUGUUCGGGAAGAAAUCCUCUGGGCUAAUACCCCGGGGGGAUGACGGUACCGGAAGAAUAAGCACCGGCUAACUACGUG
Molecule: ribosomal RNA, 483 nt
Filed under: uncultured bacterium
Lineage: Bacteria
Description: partial 16S ribosomal RNA
Rfam family: Bacterial small subunit ribosomal RNA
Source: RNAcentral